UCACUAAAUACUGUUGAUAGAGCAUGUGC
This 29-nucleotide non-coding RNA is filed under the name Rattus norvegicus (Norway rat). Lineage: Eukaryota; Metazoa; Chordata; Mammalia; Rodentia; Muridae. The record is from RNAcentral.